RNAcentral lists this ribosomal RNA (430 nucleotides) under uncultured bacterium. RNAcentral's name for it is "bacterial SSU rRNA". It matches the Rfam family "Bacterial small subunit ribosomal RNA", at positions 39 to 464 of the family's 1533-position model. The record is from RNAcentral.
GCGGCAGGCCUUAACAUGCAAGUCGAGGGGUAACAGGGAAAAGCUUGCUUUUCCGCUGACGACCGGCGCACGGGUGCGUAACACGUAUGCAACCUACCUCUUACUGAGGAAUAGCCCAGAGAAAUUUGGAUUAAUACCUCAUAGUAUCACCAGUUCGCAUGUUCAGGUGAUUAAAGGUUACGGUAAGAGAUGGGCAUGCGCCCCAUUAGCUAGUUGGUGAGGUAAUAGCUCACCAAGGCAACGAUGGGUAGGGGGUCUGAGAGGACUAUCCCCCACACUGGUACUGAGACACGGACCAGACUCCUACGGGAGGCAGCAGUGAGGAAUAUUGCGCAAUGGACGAAAGUCUGACGCAGCCAUGCCGCGUGAAGGAUGACGGCGCUACGCGUUGUAAACUUCUUUUAUAUGCCAAGAAACCUUCGGACGUGUC